This 72-nucleotide transfer RNA is filed under the name Candidatus Lokiarchaeum sp. GC14_75. RNAcentral's name for it is "Lokiarchaeum sp. GC14_75 tRNA-Ala". It matches the Rfam family "tRNA". Rfam says of the family: Transfer RNA (tRNA) molecules are approximately 80 nucleotides in length. RNAcentral also lists the same sequence under 1 other name. The record is from RNAcentral. Lineage: Archaea; Promethearchaeati; Promethearchaeota; Promethearchaeia; Promethearchaeales; Promethearchaeaceae.
GGGGACGUGGAUUAGUGGAAGAUCGUUCGCUUGGCAUGCGAAAGGCCACGGGUUCAAUUCCCGUCGUCUCCA